UACGAAGGGGGCGAGCGUUGUUCGGAUUUACUGGGCGUAAAGGGCGCGCAGGCGGCGAUCUUUGUCAGGCGUGAAAGCCCCGGGCUUAACCUGGGAACUGCGCUUGGGACGGGAUUGCUGGAGACCGGGAGAGGAGAGUGGAAUUCCCAGUGUAGAGGUGAAAUUCGUAGAUAUUGGGAAGAACACCGGUGGCGAAGGCGGCUCUCUGGACCGGAUCUGACGCUGAGGCGCGAAAGCGUGGGGAGCAAACAGGAUUAGAUACCCUGGUAGUCCACGCUGUAAACGAUGUGUGCUAGACGUUGGGGAGCCUAGCUCUUCGGUGUCGCAGCUAACGCUUUAAGCACACCGCCUGGGGAGUACGGCCGCAAGGUUAAA
RNAcentral lists this ribosomal RNA (375 nucleotides) under uncultured bacterium. Its description in RNAcentral is "bacterial SSU rRNA". It matches the Rfam family "Bacterial small subunit ribosomal RNA", at positions 524 to 898 of the family's 1533-position model. The record is from RNAcentral.